UGCUGGAGGUAUCAGAAGUGCGAAUGCUGACAUAAGUAACGAUAAAGCGGGUGAAAAGCCCGCUCGCCGGAAGACCAAGGGUUCCUGUCCAACGUUAAUCGGGGCAGGGUGAGUCGACCCCUAAGGCGAGGCCGAAAGGCGUAGUCGAUGGGAAACAGGUUAAUAUUCCUGUACUUGGUGUUACUGCGAAGGGGGGACGGAGAAGGCUAUGUUAGCCGGGCGACGGUUGUCCCGGUUUAAGCAUGUAGGCGGAGGUUCCAGGUAAAUCCGGUACCUUAUUAACGCUGAGGUGUGAUGACGAGGCACUACGGUGCUGAAGUAACAAAUGCCCUGCUUCCAGGAAAAGCCUCUAAGCAUCAGGUAACAUCAAAUCGUACCCCAAACCGACACAGGUGGUCAGGUAGAGAAUACCAAGGCGCUUGAGAGAACUCGGGUGAAGGAACUAGGCAAAAUGGUGCCGUAACUUCGGGAGAAGGCACGCUGAUAUGUAGGUGAAGCCCCUGCGGGUGGAGCUGAAAUCAGUCGAAGAUACCAGCUGGCUGCAACUGUUUAUUAAAAACACAGCACUGUGCAAACACGAAAGUGGACGUAUACGGUGUGACGCCUGCCCGGUGCCGGAAGGUUAAUUGAUGGGGUUAGCGGCAACGCGAAGCUCUUGAUCGAAGCCCCGGUAAACGGCGGCCGUAACUAUAACGGUCCUAAGGUAGCGAAAUUCCUUGUCGGGUAAGUUCCGACCUGCACGAAUGGCGUAAUGAUGGCCAGGCUGUCUCCACCCGAGACUCAGUGAAAUUGAACUCGCUGUGAAGAUGCAGUGUACCCGCGGCAAGACGGAAAGACCCCGUGAACCUUUACUAUAGCUUGACACUGAACACUGGUCCUUGAUGUGUAGGAUAGGUGGGAGGCUUUGAAGCGUGGACGCCAGUCUGCGUGGAGCCGACCUUGAAAUACCACCCUUUAAUGGCUGGUGUUCUAACGUAGACCCGUGAUCCGGGUUGCGGACAGUGUCUGGUGGGUAGUUUGACUGGGGCGGUCUCCUCCCAAAGAGUAACGGAGGAGCACGAAGGUUAGCUAAUCCUGGUCGGACAUCAGGAGGUUAGUGCAAUGGCAUAAGCUAGCUUGACUGCGAGAGUGACGGCUCGAGCAGGUGCGAAAGCAGGUCAUAGUGAUCCGGUGGUUCUGAAUGGAAGGGCCAUCGCUCAACGGAUAAAAGGUACUCCGGGGAUAACAGGCUGAUACCGCCCAAGAGUUCAUAUCGACGGCGGUGUUUGGCACCUCGAUGUCGGCUCAUCACAUCCUGGGGCUGAAGUAGGUCCCAAGGGUAUGGCUGUUCGCCAUUUAAAGUGGUACGCGAGCUGGGUUUAGAACGUCGUGAGACAGUUCGGUCCCUAUCUGCCGUGGGCGCUGGAGAAUUGAGGGGGGCUGCUCCUAGUACGAGAGGACCGGAGUGGACGCAUCACUGGUGUUCGGGUUGUCAUGCCAAUGGCACUGCCCGGUAGCUAAAUGCGGAAAAGAUAAGUGCUGAAAGCAUCUAAGCACGAAACUUGCCCCGAGAUGAGUUCUCCCUGACCCUUUAAGGGUCCUGAAGGAACGUUGAAGACUACGACGUUGAUAGGUCGGGUGUGUAAGCGCAGCGAUGCGUUGAGCUAACCGAUACUAAUGAACCGUGAGGCUUAACCUUACAACGCCGAAGCUGUU
RNAcentral lists this ribosomal RNA (1695 nucleotides) under Enterobacter asburiae. Its description in RNAcentral is "bacterial LSU rRNA". It matches the Rfam family "Bacterial large subunit ribosomal RNA", at positions 1271 to 2925 of the family's 2925-position model. Lineage: Bacteria; Pseudomonadati; Pseudomonadota; Gammaproteobacteria; Enterobacterales; Enterobacteriaceae. The record is from RNAcentral.